RNAcentral lists this long non-coding RNA (2881 nucleotides) under Populus tremula. RNAcentral describes it as "long non-coding RNA (PTRE_LNC002307)". The record is from RNAcentral. Lineage: Eukaryota; Viridiplantae; Streptophyta; Magnoliopsida; Malpighiales; Salicaceae.
CCCCCAACGAGUAAGCUCAAGACAACAUACAAGGCAUCCAGGCCCAACCUGUUUAUGUAAUUUGGUUGGUCAGUUUGCUGAAUAGAAUUUGUUAAAGUAGAGUUUAUUAGAGGUAGAUCUCUUUCAUGAAUCUAUUCCUCCGGCAGCUCAUUCUGCAUUUACGGUUGUUAACCUUUCAAGUUUUGAAGAUUAUGUAUUCUGCUGUCUGUUUUCUUUUUGAAUUUUGUGUUUAUUCGAUGUUAUAAUGGAGACUUUUUGGGGCCUUAUAUUGUCAUUGUCAAAUGAUUAUGGAACUUCAUACGCUUUUGAAAUUGAUGCUCUAUCAAACUUUUGAAGAUCAUGUGCUUGGAAAAUGGUGCUUCUCGUAGUGAUCUCGAUUAUGGUGGAGCACUUUCAGGCUCUAGUUUUCUUUUGGCCGGCGCUUGUUUUCAGCCUCGUGACAUUAUCCUAUCGCAUUCAACUGUUUUGUGAUCCGUCAACACCAAACCUUUGCAAUGAGAGAUAGCAACGUCUUCCAUCUAAUAUUUUGUUGUUAGCAAUGGGGCGCAGAGCACUGGAAAUGAUUCUCAUUUUAGCAUUUCGAAGCAAUGAGACGCAAACCUCUAAACUGGAACAGCACAGCUGCUACCCUAAGACACUGGAUGAUGCUAAAAGUUUAGUUAGUUAGAGGUGGUACUUUGAUAAUGGUCAACAGCUUGGCAACUUGUCAAACAUGCAUACGAUCUCCGGCAAGGAUCCAAACUGACACAACUUUUACCUCAAACGCCUAGUGCAAUGUCUCCUUUUCAAGGGCAAAUUUGUAAUUAUACCAUUACAAUAAAUAGUAUUUUGUAUCUUGAUCAACAAUAUCAUCCUUACAAAAUUUAGAAGGGGUUUAAGAUUAUGGUAGUAUUUGCUUUUUAAAAUAUUUUUUGUUUGGAAAUACAUUAAAUUUUUUUUUUACAUUAUCCCAUUAAAAAAAUAAAAAAAAAUUUAAAACAAAAAAAAUAUUUAAUUUUUUUAAAAUACUAUUUCAAACACAUUUCCAAACAUAUUAUUUUUAAUUUAGAAAAUUUCAAAGAGAACGGAUACCAAAUAUAAGAUUGGCUUUAGAUGGGCUGGCUGUUUGAUAUUCUCCACUUGCAUUGAGUUGGGCUCCUGCUGGUAUAACGAGACCUGGAGCUGGGUCUCUGGAAAUGCAAGCGACAAGACUUGAUGAGGAAAUAUAGGGCUGGGCCAAGUAGAGAACAGUUCAGGGCUCAGAGCUCACCCAAAUCGCUGCAAGGAAACUAGGGUUUUAAACCCUCACUUAUAAUACUUCUCCAAAACCUAGACUCAGGGAGAACAGGGUGAACGUUUGAGGAACCCGGCCGCUUCUCUUUCAAGCACAUCACAAAAUGGUUGUCUUCAGGGUAUGUUCCUCAGACUUGCUCAAUCUGCUACUUUUCCUGGAUCUAAAUGACAUGAUUCUUAAUUCUUUUCGUGAUUGUGUUGCAAACAGUUUCACCAGUACCAAGUGGUCGGGAGAGCACUCCCAACCGAGAACGAUGAGCAUCCCAAGAUCUACCGCAUGAAACUUUGGGCCACUAACGAGGUCCGUUCAAAAUCAAAGUUCUGGUAUGUAUCGUCACUUCACUUACUCAAUAAUCUAUCUUUUGCUGGUUUUCGAGUAUAUAUACAUGUGUGUGUGUGUAUCUAUAUAUAUGUAUGUAUGCGCGCGCGCGCUCAUUCUCUUAUGAUAUGAUGAUUGUCAUGUUUUAGGUACUUCUUGAGGAAGCUUAAGAAGGUCAAGAAAAGCAAUGGACAAAUUCUUGCCAUCAAUGAGGUAUGUGUGAUCUGGCAUGCAUGCUUUGUAGAGCAUCUGUUGAUAUUGUCUUGCAACUGGAUUAAUUAUAUAAUCUGGGAGGUUGUCUUGGUCUUGCUGCUACUGUCUUAAUGCAGUUGUAUAUCUAAUAUUUGGUAUUAGGUCAAUUUAUUAGUUAUGACUAAUGGUAUUUGAGGGCUUCUUGCUCUUUGUUUUCUCUCUAUCCUACUGUAUGUUCUCUUCUCGCUCUCCAUCUCUCCAUCUUCUCGCUCUCUAUCCUUCUGCUCUUUAAUUGAGGGAAAAUCACAAUUAGCUGGUUAAUUCCACUCACAGGAAUUGAGUUUCUGUUGACAAUCCUUUUCAUUACUUUUUUCUUAUUACAAUUCUAGUGCUAUAUUUAGACCGAUCCUUGAAAGGAAAUGUUAGCAACAUUUGUGUUGCUUCUAAUUGAGUUUUCCCAUGGAAGAACAAGAAUCACAGGCUUUUCUGCUUUUGGGUUGUGCAUUUUUGUUCCAAGCAUUUUUAUAUUAUGAAUUUCUGAUUGUAGAUUUUUGAGAAGAAUCCUACCAAGAUCAAGAACUUUGGAAUAUGGCUGCGAUACCAGAGCAGAACAGGUUAUCACAACAUGUACAAGGAAUACAGAGACACCACUCUGAAUGGUGCUGUUGAGCAGAUGUACACUGAGAUGGCAUCUCGCCACAGGGUUAGGUUUCCUUGCAUCCAGAUCAUUAAGACUGCUACCAUCCCUGCUAAGCUUUGCAAGAGAGAGAGCACCAAGCAGUUCCACAAUUCCAAAAUCAAGUUCCCAUUGGUGUUCAAGAAGGUUAGACCCCCAACGAGGAAGCUCAAGACAACAUACAAGGCAUCCAGGCCCAACCUGUUUAUGUAAUUUGGUUGGUCAGUUUGCUGAAUAGAAUUGUUAAAGUAGAGUUUAUUAGAGCUAGAUCACUUUUAUGGAUCUUUUGCCCCGGGAGCUCAUUCUGCAUUUACUGUUGUUAACCUUUCAAGUUUUGAAGAUUAUGUAUUUUGCUAAGUUGGCUGUUUUCUUUUUGAAUUUUGUGCUUAUUCGAUGUUAUAAUGGAAACUUUUCGGUGCCUU